This 345-nucleotide ribosomal RNA is filed under the name uncultured bacterium. RNAcentral's name for it is "bacterial SSU rRNA". It matches the Rfam family "Bacterial small subunit ribosomal RNA", at positions 373 to 710 of the family's 1533-position model. The record is from RNAcentral.
GGGCGCAAGCCUGAUGCAGCCAUGCCGCGUGUGUGAAGAAGGCCUUCGGGUUGUAAAGCACUUUCAGCGGGGAGGAAGGCGUUAAGGUUAAUAACCUUGGCGAUUGACGUUACCCGCAGAAGAAGCACCGGCUAACUCCGUGCCAGCAGCCGCGGUAAUACGGAGGGNNCAAGCGUUAAUCGGAAUUACUGGGCGUAAAGCGCACGCAGGCGGUCUGUCAAGUCGGAUGUGAAAUCCCCGGGCUCAACCUGGGAACUGCAUUCGAAACUGGCAGGCUAGAGUCUUGUAGAGGGGGGUAGAAUUCCAGGUGUAGCGGUGAAAUGCGUAGAGAUCUGGAGGAAUACC